UGUGUAAAAAUAGGCGGCCCGGUAGUCCAGUGGUUAGCACGUCGGCUUCACAGUGCAGAGGUACCGGGUUCGAUUCCAGCUCCGGCCUCCCUGUGUGGAGUUUGCAUGUUCUCCCCGGGCCUGCGUGGGUUUUCUCCGGGUGCUCCGGUUUCCUCCCACAUUCCAAAAACAUGCGUGGCAGGCUGAUUGAACACUCUAAAUUGUCCCUAGGUGUGAGUGUGACGUGGAUGGUUGUUCGUCUCUGUGUGCCCUGUGAUUGGCUGACAACCGAUUCAGGGUGUCCCUGGCCUACUGCCCGAAGACAGCUGGGAUAGGCUCCAGCACCCCCCGCGACCCUAGCGAGGAUCAAGCGGUUCGAAAGAUGAA
This is a long non-coding RNA of Hippocampus zosterae (dwarf seahorse), 366 nucleotides long. RefSeq lists it as uncharacterized. The transcript is spliced from 2 exons. NCBI's taxonomy places the organism in Eukaryota, Metazoa, Chordata, Actinopteri, Syngnathiformes, Syngnathidae. The record is from RefSeq and is a predicted model, not a curated record.